RNAcentral lists this long non-coding RNA (2092 nucleotides) under Canis lupus familiaris (dog). RNAcentral's name for it is "lncRNA (ENSCAFG00805002524.1, ENSCAFG00845005040.1)". Lineage: Eukaryota; Metazoa; Chordata; Mammalia; Carnivora; Canidae. The record is from RNAcentral.
AAGUGGGGUUGCUAGAUCGAUGAUAUUUGUAUUUUUAAUUUUUUGAGGAAGCUCCAUACUAUUUUUCAUAGUGGCUGUAUCAGUUUACAGUCCAGAGUCCUACCAAUAGCACACAGGGUUCCCUUUUCCUCACAUUCUUGUUAACUUUAUAGCUGAGGAAACCAAGGUCCUUUGAAGUUAAAUAGCUUAUCCAGAUAUCCCACAGCUAGGAAAUGGCUGACAUAAUAAUAGAGCACAAGUCUCUUCACUUCUGUCUCAGGACUCUUGUCAUACCAUACAAAAAACAGGAGGGAGCUGGGCCCUGCCUCCUGGAAUCCUGGAACUUGCCCUCCAUGACUUGCGUGCAAGUCAGCAGCAUGGCCCUGUCAGUAUCCCAUGGUAGUCUGUGUCACUGAAGGCCUUGAAGGUGGCAGAAAUGCCCUUACCUGGGAACUGGUUUCCAAGCCACUCCUUGCAGUGACACUGAUGAAACACAUUUCUUAACAAAUAAGAAUCUAAUGGAUUAGGUCUUAUCUAAUUAUGCAUUCUGCAUUAAUGCGGUGCCUCUCCCUGCCUGAUGCUGCCGGCAUAAUUAAACUUAAUGUACUUUUAAUGAUGUCUUUUUAACUCAAGCAUUCACAUGUGAUUAGCAUCAAAUGGGGAUGAGCUGUCCCAGGUCCAGGGGCUGUUCUUUACAUUCCUACCCAUUCUCCUCCCUACAACAGGUGUGAAUGAAUCAAGGUCUUCAAGGUUUGAAAAUGUUAGCUUGGGGGUAAGGAUGCCUUGUAAUGCCAGUCACUUUAAUUUGAGUCAACAAAAUGGCAUCCUCUUUUAGUUUGGCUUAAAUUCCAGUAAACACUGGGAAUUAUACUAUAUGCUGAACAAAUUGAAUUUAAAUAAAAUAUAUAAAAAAAGAAAACAAACAAAAACUCCAGUAAACAUUACUGAAAGCAGUAUGCAUUGUAAAUUUUGUUCUGUUUUGAACUCCAUUUGUUGGCUAAAGAAUGAGUAAAGAAACGAUCAGGGAAACAACAUGUGAAGAAAAGAGAAUUAUAUUGGGAGUCAAGUUACCUGGUUCUAACAAGUAAUACUCCCGUCUUUGAACCUUUUCUUUAUCUGUAAAGUGGGAGGGUUAAACUAGAUGACAUUUAGGGUCUCUCUAGCUCUGAAGAUGAUUAUUAUUUAAAUAUGGUCCCCGUGCUCCUCUUUCUUCCCUACCUGCAGUUCAUCCUUCUUACCCCUCCACCUAGUAACUCUGAGCAUGGGCUGCAUUAUUACCUUCAUCAUAAAUUUUGCACCACAGUAGAAACUACUACUGUGUGUUAUUUCCUGCAUGCUAGGCAUUUGUAUUUGUUACCUCCCCUCAUCUUCAACUGCCCCAAGAAGUUUGGUAUUUUGUCAGUUUUACUGAUCAGGGAAGUGUGACUUAGAUGGAAAGAUUUUUCCAGCUCAAACAGCUGGAAAAUGGUGAAGAUCAGUCAGUAUUUAUCCAUAGUGCCCUGUCCCUUCUCAAAAGUUUGCUGCUGCCGACAAGAGAGGGUGGAAGUUGAGACAGACAUUUACAGCACACAUGAUCCACCCCACAUUAGUAUUUCUAGUCUUGUUUUCCCUCUCUUACUCCACUUCUUGCCCCUGCUGCCACCUGUCAUUGCCAGCCCUUUCACCGCUCUCACGUGUAUGUAUCCUGAUGCACAGCCCUGGUUUCUCACUCAGGCUUCUCACUCUGCCUGUCUCACCUCCUGCACUGUAUCAUCCCAUCACAGCUUCUGGUGCCAGUGUAGGUCUCUCUGCGGCCAAAUUCCUUUCCAAAUUCCUCAUGCUUUCUUCUCCUUGAUGUUAGAGCACUUUAUUUUUAUCGCAAAAAAAAGAAAGGCAUAAUUGAAUUAUUCAUAUGUCACUAUUACCUAACUUGAUUAUGAACUGCAGGAGAUAAGAGUUGUUUAUUAUGCUUCUCUUCUUCCUCUCCUGCACCUGAUGUAUACAAUUCUGUGCUUAUCACAUAGUUGGCUCUGAUGCAAGGAUGAUAUUCAAAAUACUUAAAAACUGGCAUGGCAUGUGCACUGACCCAAGGGAAUGGAUUUCGGUUGUACUGUGUGUGUAUGUGUAGUGUGGA